This 72-nucleotide transfer RNA is filed under the name Heterocephalus glaber (naked mole-rat). It matches the Rfam family "tRNA". Rfam says of the family: Transfer RNA (tRNA) molecules are approximately 80 nucleotides in length. The record is from Rfam by way of RNAcentral. Lineage: Eukaryota; Metazoa; Chordata; Mammalia; Rodentia; Bathyergidae.
GGGGGUGCAGCUCAGUGAUAAAGUUUGUGCCUACCAUGCAUGAGGGCCUGGGUUCCAUCCCCAGCACUGCUG